This 406-nucleotide unclassified non-coding RNA is filed under the name fungal sp. RNAcentral's name for it is "partial internal transcribed spacer region". The stretch from base 1 to 46 matches the Rfam family "Eukaryotic small subunit ribosomal RNA", at positions 1786 to 1831 of the family's 1831-position model. The record is from RNAcentral. Lineage: Eukaryota; Fungi.
AAGUCGUAACAAGGUUUCCGUAGGUGAACCUGCGGAAGGAUCAUUAACACGUUAUCCACGUACACCAACCGAGAACCGUUAAUUCUACCUCUGUGCAGAAUGAGCAGCAGCAAGAUUGAGUGAUGGAAGGGUGAGCGUAAAAACGACUGGCUCAAUUUGCUAUUGGUCCCAGAAGGCUUGCUUUUUGGCAGGUCUCGAGGUGCCUACUGUUGUAUCUGUCUCGUGGAGGCCCCGCUUGCCGCGCAACUCUCCAUCCAUGAAGUGCGCGGCGAGUAACUUAUUCACACAUUAUCACCACUUUUUGCUAGUUGACUUUUAUAUGUUGUGCUUCGCUUCGGUGAGGUGCACACGUUUAAUUAUUUGAACGUUAAAAAUACAACUCUUAGCAAUGGAUAUCUAGGUUCUC